CGGCGCGUGGGCGGCGCGGCCGGCCGAGGGCCGCCUGGCGCACGUCGCCGCGCGCCUGCGCACCCGCUACCCGGACUGGCCAGAACAGACUGAACUACUAAAUGCGUUCCAAACUGCAGCUGAAGAAGUCGCCGCGCCUAGAAUAUCCCAGCCUAACAUUACAACAUUCUUUGAGACCAACUGAUGUACCUGAACAUGUAUUUAUAGCAUAAGUAAUAUAAUUUAUUUAUAGAUAGUCAUUAUAUUAAUAAACAAAAUAGGAAUGGGCCAGGCAAAGAAGAUAUUUAUAUUAUACAGUGUGUCUGGUCACCAGUGUCCACUGUCCAACCUAUUAGGUCGCAGUAAUAUGAUCAAUUUUAUCGACAAAUCUACUGGAAUAAAACAUUUUAUUCCUACUUUUAAAACAUUGCAGGUAAUUGAAUUUUUUGGGUUUAUGAGUUCGGGUGGAUUCAUUUAUUUAGAAAUAUCUAUCGAUGUAGGAGGCCUAUAAGUAUAAAAGUGAAUUCGUUCGACAGCUAAAACAGUAGGCAAUAAGAACAUAAAAAAAAUAUAUCAAAAGCUCCAUUAAGCUUGACAUGUAAAAAAAAAGAUGCUUUUUCUUAAGUUUUUAGAUGCACUGUCAUUACCUAAAAACUGAUGUUAAUACCUAAGCUUUAAGGCGAUUAUCCCACUGCACCGCGCUCCGCCGCAGUACGCGGGACGACAGAUUUAAUCAUUCCGUGCGCAAACGCGUUGUCAGUGUGUUGUGCCGCGCGUGUGUUUUACAAACUGAGGUACUUGCAUAUAAUGAUUAAAUCUGUCGUCCCGCGUACUGCGGCGGAGCGCGGUGUAGUGGGAUAAUCGCCCAAGUCAACGUUUUUUAUUUAUGUUAAUAGAUGUUUAUACAGGGUGUAUUAUAAAAAAAAAGUGUAUUAUUUUGAGUGCACUAGUGUGAUGAAUACAAAAAAAAACAAUAAAAUACUGUGAUACUAUA
Ostrinia nubilalis (European corn borer) is the source of this 973-nucleotide long non-coding RNA. RefSeq lists it as uncharacterized. NCBI's taxonomy places the organism in Eukaryota, Metazoa, Arthropoda, Insecta, Lepidoptera, Crambidae. The record is from RefSeq and is a predicted model, not a curated record. The transcript has 2 exons.